This 213-nucleotide long non-coding RNA is filed under the name Ananas comosus (pineapple). RNAcentral's name for it is "long non-coding RNA (ACOM_LNC039969)". Lineage: Eukaryota; Viridiplantae; Streptophyta; Magnoliopsida; Poales; Bromeliaceae. The record is from RNAcentral.
UCAUCAUGUCUAAAAUAUGAAAAUACUCACUAGCAACCCAUAGGUCUAGUCUAUGCCUCAAGUGAAGGUUUACUAAGUUCACUAUGUCCAAUGCCUCUUUAUGGCAUCAUCUCACUAUGUCCAAAACCAUUCCAAGCUUAAUGCCGCUUUAUGACAUUAGCUUACUAAAUCCAUCUCUAGUCCAAGCCUAAUGCCGCUUUAUGACAUUAGCUU